This 76-nucleotide transfer RNA is filed under the name Acidobacteriota bacterium. RNAcentral's name for it is "tRNA-Thr". It matches the Rfam family "tRNA". From Rfam's summary of the family: Transfer RNA (tRNA) molecules are approximately 80 nucleotides in length. Their secondary structure includes four short double-helical elements and three loops (D, anti-codon, and T loops). RNAcentral also lists the same sequence under 2 other names. Lineage: Bacteria; Pseudomonadati; Acidobacteriota. The record is from RNAcentral.
GCCGGCGUAGCUCAGUUGGUAGAGCAGCUGAUUCGUAAUCAGCAGGUCGUCCGUUCAACCCGGAUCGCCGGCUCCA